This 621-nucleotide ribosomal RNA is filed under the name uncultured bacterium. Its description in RNAcentral is "partial 16S ribosomal RNA". It matches the Rfam family "Bacterial small subunit ribosomal RNA", at positions 253 to 892 of the family's 1533-position model. The record is from RNAcentral.
UGAGGUAGCGGCUCACCAAGGCUACGAUCGGUAGCUGGUCUGAGAGGAUGAUCAGCCACAUUGGGACUGAGACACGGCCCAAACUCCUACGGGAGGCAGCAGUGGGGAAUAUUGGACAAUGGGCGCAAGCCUGAUCCAGCCAUGCCGCGUGAGUGAUGAAGGCCUUAGGGUUGUAAAGCUCUUUUGCCCGGGAAGAUAAUGACUGUACCGGAAGAAUAAGCCCCGGCUAACUUCGUGCCAGCAGCCGCGGUAAUACGAAGGGGNNNNNCGUUGUUCGGAAUCACUGGGCGUAAAGCGCANNNNNGCGGACCGUUAAGUCGGAGGUGAAAGCCUGGGGCUCNNNNCCAGAACUGCCUUCGNNNCUGGNNNUCUUGAGNNNNGUAGAGGUUGGUGGAACUCCNAGUGUANNNGUGAAAUUCGUAGAUAUUCGGAAGAACACCAGUGGCGAAGGCGGCCAACUGGACCAUUACUGACGCUGAGGUGCGAAAGCGUNGGGAGCAAACAGGAUUAGAUACCCUGGUAGUCCACGCUGUAAACGAUGAGAGCUAGCCGUUGGGGUGCAUGCACCUCAGUGGCGCAGCUAACGCGUUAAGCUCUCCGCCUGGGGAGUACGGUCGCAAG